UUCUGUCCAUUGGAAAAUUUCUUCAAUGUUACUUUCAAAAAAUAUCCUGAAAUCCACUACCAUUCAUCUCCACUGAUAACUGUCUACAAAAUCAGAAAGUCUCUGACAAGUAGAAUAUAGAAUAAUAACAAAUAUGGAUUUGUCAGUCCUAUCUUGAUUUAAAAGUGCAGGUUUUAAUUAUGUAUGUACUGACUAAGAGCCUUGCAGCAAGAGACUGCUCUUUCGUGAACCAAAAUUGCCUGCUCAUUCAGGUGCUUUUCCGUAAGGACAUAAAGUAUCACUA
This 283-nucleotide long non-coding RNA is filed under the name Bos taurus (domestic cattle). Its description in RNAcentral is "long non-coding RNA NONBTAT018143". The record is from RNAcentral. Lineage: Eukaryota; Metazoa; Chordata; Mammalia; Artiodactyla; Bovidae.